This 89-nucleotide transfer RNA is filed under the name Limnoglobus roseus. Its description in RNAcentral is "tRNA-Ser". It matches the Rfam family "tRNA". From Rfam's summary of the family: Transfer RNA (tRNA) molecules are approximately 80 nucleotides in length. The record is from RNAcentral. Lineage: Bacteria; Pseudomonadati; Planctomycetota; Planctomycetia; Gemmatales; Gemmataceae.
CGGAGAGUUGGCCGAGCGGUUUAAGGCAGAAGUCUUGAAAACUUCCGUAGGGGAAACCCUACCGUGGGUUCGAAUCCCACACUCUCCGU